Molecule: ribosomal RNA, 421 nt
Filed under: uncultured bacterium
Lineage: Bacteria
Description: bacterial SSU rRNA
Rfam family: Bacterial small subunit ribosomal RNA
Source: RNAcentral
AAGGAAUAUUGGACAAUGGUCGGAAGACUGAUCCAGCCAUGCCGCGUGAAGGACGAAGGCGCUCAGCGUUGUAAACUUCUUUUGUACGGGAACAAAACCACCAAUGCGUUGGUGUCUGAGGGUACCGUAAGAAUAAGCACCGGCUAACUCCGUGCCAGCAGCCGCGGUAAUACGGAGGGUGCAAGCGUUAUCCGGAAUCACUGGGUUUAAAGGGUGCGUAGGCGGUUCGAUAAGUCAGUUGUGAAAUUCCCUCGCUUAACGAGUGGGACUGCGAUUGAUACUGUUGAACUUGAAUCAGGUUGAGGUAGGCGGAAUGUGACAUGUAGCGGUGAAAUGCAUAGAUAUGUCAUAGAACACCGAUUGCGAAGGCAGCUUGCUGGACCUGUAUUGACGCUGAGGCACGAAAGCGUGGGGAGCAAAC